Molecule: ribosomal RNA, 253 nt
Filed under: uncultured bacterium
Lineage: Bacteria
Description: partial 16S ribosomal RNA
Rfam family: Bacterial small subunit ribosomal RNA
Source: RNAcentral
UACGUAGGGGGCAAGCGUUGUCCGGAAUCAUUGGGCGUAAAGCGCGUGUAGGCGGCUUGGUAAGUCCGCUCUGAAAGCCCGGGGCUCAACCCCGGGAGGCGGGUGGAUACUGUCAAGCUCGAGUCCGGAAGAGGCGAGUGGAAUUCCUGGUGUAGCGGUGAAAUGCGUAGAUAUCGGGAGGAACACCAGUGGCGAAGGCGACUACCUGGCCUGUUCUUGACGCUGAGGCGCGAAAGCUGGGGGAGCAAACGGG